This is an RNA transcript of Triticum aestivum (bread wheat), 1762 nucleotides long. RefSeq lists it as uncharacterized. The record is from RefSeq and is a predicted model, not a curated record. Lineage: Eukaryota; Viridiplantae; Streptophyta; Magnoliopsida; Poales; Poaceae. The transcript is spliced from 4 exons.
AUGGGCUGUUCAGCCUCUCCCAUUCUCUCAGUCCCAGGCUACAACCCCAACCUCCAAACACCUACCUCUGGAACCCUGACCUCGCCGCCGCCCGUCCGCUCGCACCACCGACGCCGGCGAUCCCCACGCCGCCCUGAUCUAGCAUUGUCGACCUCAGCGAUGGCGUCGCCGUCGUCGGACUCGGACAAGCGGGGCGAGCUGCGGCCCCCGGAACACAUCGCCGGCGAGCUGCCCCGCGACGCGCUCUACGACAUCCUGCUGCGUCUCCCGGCGAAGGAUGUAUGCCGCCUCCGCGCCGUCAGCCCCUCGUGGCGCUCUCUCACCUUGGACCCGCUCUUCGUCAAGGCCCACGCGGCCCGCCACCCGGGCCCGCUCCUCGCCACCACCUUCGCCGACGGCGAGUCCCGCGGCGUCAGCAUCGUGGAUCUGCUCUCCGGCAACGUCAUCAAGCGGAUACGCACCUCCGACCCCGACCUGAGAGUGCAGCGCACGCGCCUCGACCGUGUCUGCCUCGUCGGAGGGCGCCACCCUCUGGGCGUGCCUGUCACCCUGCUCGACCCGGCCACGGGUGCUGUCAUCAGCUCGUCGCAAGUCAUCUCCAUGAAGUAUGCUGGUUUGCUGAAGACCAGAAAGGCAUCCAUGGACUCGUGCAUUUUUGGGAAAGUCCCCUCCACAGGAGUGUACAAGGCGUUCCGCUUCCUUGAAAUUCGCCCUCUGGUUAGUCCGCAGCAGCUCUGCGAGGUCAUGACUCUCAACGGCCGCAGCCCUGGACGGUGGAGGGCAAGACCAGGACCUCCGGGCCGUGUCUUUUCCGAUCACACGAUGAAAAGCGCGGCCAUCGAUGGGGUCGUGUAUUUCUUGAUGGAUUUUUCAAACAUGUAUCAGUCGAAGGUGACCAUCAAACCAGCCAGCAUAGCUGCAUUCAACCUGGAGACAGAAGUAUGGAUGCCGCCGAUUGAUGGUCCGGAACAAGUCAGCAGCUUAUAUGACGAAGAAGAUGUGCUUCCUGUCUUCGAGGACCCCAGAGCUGUGGGGAUUCUCUCCAUAACCAAUUUGAAUGGGUCCUUAGUGGUGGCGCAGGUUCAUCAUAGUUCACCUCAAUCGAUGGACCUAUGGUUUCUGAUGGAUCGUGAGAAAGGUGUCUGGGUUAAAAAGUACAGCACAGGUUAUUACCGACGUGAGGAUCAUUUUAGUUAUCCUUUGCUGGUGUUAGAUGACGAGAGGAUUGUCUUUGUGAUGCAACUAACGGGGCUGCUACAGGUUUAUGAUCCAAAAACAGAAACUUACACAGAUUUGUGGCAGCUGGAAGAUUUCCAGUCUAUGUGUAUUUACACAGGAAAUCUGCUGAGUCAAGAGGCUGGUUUUCACCGCUGAGGCUAACAGAAUGUGACAUACUAAUAAAGAGUGCAGCAGUUUCACCAGGCGCUAAGGAUGGUGUGUUUUAGACCCGACGAAUGGCCAAGCAUUCUACAACGUGCAUCAUCCAAAGAGGCGCCACUCUUUUUCCUGAUGACGAUGUCGCGUGCUGCUAAUUUGUCGAUGAAGCCAGUUUGCUCAGUUGAAUUGUGCGAGCCUUCUCGUGAAUCUUUUUACCGUCUGUAGAAUCUACUUUGCUAGUAUGUUUCGCUUGCAUGUGUGGAUGGACCAUGCGUGACAAUGUCCUGGAGGACUCUUAAUCAUGUAUGCAUCGGAUUGUCAUCUAUCCUUUGUCUUUUUGUGAAAGCAGGACUGACAGUUUGGCUUUGUGACUCUAAUUUCAAAA